Molecule: ribosomal RNA, 347 nt
Filed under: uncultured soil bacterium
Lineage: Bacteria
Description: bacterial SSU rRNA
Rfam family: Bacterial small subunit ribosomal RNA
Source: RNAcentral
AGAGCGAACGCUGGCGGCAGGCCUAACACAUGCAAGUCGAACGGACUCUUCGGAGUUAGUGGCGGACGGGUGAGUAACACGUGGGAACGUGCCUUUAGGUUCGGAAUAGCUCCUGGAAACGGGUGGUAAUGCCGAAUGUGCCCUUCGGGGGAAAGAUUUAUCGCCUUUAGAGCGGCCCGCGUCUGAUUAGCUAGUUGGUGAGGUAAAGGCUCACCAAGGCUACGAUCAGUAGCUGGUCUGAGAGGAUGACCAGCCACAUUGGGACUGAGACACCGGACCCAAACUCCGUACGGGAGCAGCAGGUGGGAAUCGUUGCGCAAGUCGGGACGAAAGCCUGACCGCACGCC